Molecule: ribosomal RNA, 497 nt
Filed under: uncultured bacterium
Lineage: Bacteria
Description: partial 16S ribosomal RNA
Rfam family: Bacterial small subunit ribosomal RNA
Source: RNAcentral
GAUGAACGCUGGCGGCGUGCUUAAUACAUGCAAGUCGAGCGAACAGAUGAUGAGUUUGCUUCUCUGACGUUUGCGGCGGACGGGUGAGUCACACGUGGAUAACCUACCUAUAUGUCUGGGAUAACCUCGGGAAACCGGAGCUAAUACCGGAUAAUAUAUUGACCCGCAUGGUUCAAUAGUGAAAGACGUUUGUGUUUUCACUUAUACAUGGAUUCGCGCCGCAUUAGCUAGUUGGUAAGGUAACGGCUUACCAAGGCAACGAUGCGUAGCCGAGCUGAGAGGGUGGUCGGCCACACUGGAACGUGGACGCGGUCCAGGCUCCUACGGGAGGGAGCAGUAGGGAAUGUGCCGCAAUGGGCGAGAGCCUUGCGGAACAACGCCGCGUGAGUGAUGAAGGUCUUCGGAUCGUAAAGCUCUGUUAUUAGGGAUGAACAAAUGUGUAAGUAGAUAUACACGUCUUGACGGUACCUGAUCAGAAAGCAACGGCUAACUACGUG